CGCAUGCCACCUAAAACAUACCUGUUUGGGUGUGUAUUUACACAGAAUUUAUGGAAAAUAAAUAUUUAGGACGUGUUUUGGUUUGGGUAUUUGUCAGCCAGUUAUGACCAUUUCUGCCUUGGACUAGAUGUCAUUUAAGUAAUUUAAUAAUUGAAACCCUUUUUUUUUUGUUAAUUUUAAUUAUUCUUUUGCACCACUAUAUCCUGAGUGCCAGUCUGUUUUUGCCCGCAGGCCAACUCCUUACAGCCUGGUAGAUCAAACGCCAUCUUGCCAACUCGUGUUUGUUCGCAACAUUUAGGAUUUCAAAUUGUGUUGUCCGCAAGAUCACAGCUGUCCUCAAACAAAUACCUGGCUAUGCUAAUCUUGUCCAACACUCUGGGUGUCUCCAAACUUUUCUGUUUAGCUGUGUAUUGAUCAGUCUGCUGACUAUGAGGCUACUGUUAUCACCCAGAUUGAAACAGCUUUAAAACGACCUCAACGAUCAAGGUCUCUGGCACCCGUAACGGCGCCACGUCCAUGGGCCGAACUGAGACCGGCUAUCCGGCGGUUCGCGGCGCUCGCUGGAGCAGUGGGUUUGACGCGCGGGCGAUGCACGCGGGGGACCGUGCCCAAGUCCGACUCCGCGUGGGCGCCUACGUGCCAGACGGCCUCGACGUGUAAAUCCAUCUGGCUCCCAGAAAGUGAAAGGAACGCAGGAAGGCCGGACCGAAGGAGCGGAACAACAAGGACGCUGUGAAGCAGGCAGCGAGGUCAUUCUGAAACUCAACUGGAAGACAGAGGGAGGGAAAACAAAAGAGAAUCACUACGAUGUCCAAGCUUGUUUGAGAGUUACAUCGUGUUUCUGCUCCAUGUAGAAGGCCAUGUUUCUCUGGAGACCCCGGGGGAGUUUUACUAUAUUCAUAUAGAAUCCGCGCGGCUCGUCUGUGAGGCACAGGGUCUGCGUGGGCUGAGAUUCCACUCACCCAACAACAUGACCUAACAUCAUCGCCGCUCCAUCACUCAUCCCUUACCUUCUCGUUAGCCCGCCCUUCUCCUGACCCUCCAGCUCACCUCUCACAGUUCCUCCUCCAUCCAACUUCUCCGUCUUAUCCAUGCCCCCCCCCUCCACUCGGCUCACUUAUCUCGUCCACUUUCUCGCUCCCUCCUCCUCUCUCUCUCCUUGCCCUUUUCCCUUCUCUAUCGGCAUUUCUCUGCCUCUCUCUCCGUCUCCCGGUGUUGUGACUGAAUAACAGACAGUGAGUCAGAGCGUCAGGCCCUGGGUCUGCAUUCCAAAUGACACCCUAUAACCCAUGUAAGUGCACUUACUUUCACCAAACCCUACCAGGCCCCGGUCUAAAGGCGUGCACCAUGUAGGGGAUAGGGUGCCAGUUGGGGAUGCCGCCGAGGACGCCCGGCUCCGUGGCGCAGACGUGCCCACAGGGCGCCGGCAGACAUGCCCACAGGGCGCCGGCAGACAUGCCCACAGGGCGCCGGCAGACAUGCCCACAGGGCGCCGGCAGACAUGCCCACAGGGCGCCGGCAGACAUGGCCACAGGGCGCCGGCAGACAUGGCCACAGGGCGCCGGCAGACAUGGCCACAGGGCGCCGGCAGACAUGCCCACAGGGCGCCGGCAGACAUGGCCACAGGGCGCCGGCAGACAUGGCCACAGGGCGCCGGCAGACAUGCCCACAGGGCGCCGGCAGACAUG
This is a long non-coding RNA of Esox lucius (northern pike), 1688 nucleotides long. The record is from Ensembl. Lineage: Eukaryota; Metazoa; Chordata; Actinopteri; Esociformes; Esocidae.